This 406-nucleotide ribosomal RNA is filed under the name uncultured bacterium. RNAcentral describes it as "partial 16S ribosomal RNA". It matches the Rfam family "Bacterial small subunit ribosomal RNA", at positions 30 to 526 of the family's 1533-position model. The record is from RNAcentral.
AUUGAACGCUGGCGGCAGGCCUAACACAUGCAAGUCGAACGAGUGGCGGACGGGUGAGUAAUGUCUGGGAAACUGCCUGAUGGAGGGGGAUAACUACUGGAAACGGUAGCUAAUACCGCAUACCAUCGGAUGUGCCCAGAUGGGAUUAGCUAGUAGGUGGGGUAAAGGCUCACCUAGGCGACGAUCCCUAGCUGGUCUGAGAGGAUGACCGGCCACACUGGAACUGGGACACGGUCCAGACUCCUACGGGAGGCAGCAGUGGGGAUUAUUGCACAAUGGGCGCAAGCCUGAUGCAGCCAUGCCGGGUGUUUGAAGAAGGCCUUCGGGUUGUAAAGUACUUUCAUCGGGGAGGCGUUACCCGCAUAAGAAGCACCGGCUAACUCCGUGCCAGCAGCCGCGGUAAUUC